ACGAAGGAGGCCACUAUUAUAUAUAAUCAACCUUGUGGUACCAAUUGCCUUUUUUCUUGUGUUGGAUUUGGCCUCCUUUUUUGUCAGUGAGGCCAAAGGGGAAAAGCUAGGCUUCAAAGUGACCAUACUCUUGUCCAUCUCUGUCCUAUUGUUGAUUCUCAAUGACAUCCUGCCCUCCACAGCAAAUAACCUGCCAGUGAUAGCUAUUUACUGCAUCGUAAUCUUUGCCCUUACGGGCCUCAGCCUCCUGGAGACCAUGCUAAUGAGCUUCCUGAUUGAUAUGGACAGCAGGGUUGAUCAGGACGUCCAGACCUCUGCUAAGACCUGCGAAGAGACUCAAGAAGAGACUGAAUGCCGAAGAGAGCCUGAGAGAGAUGUUGAGAGCAGCCUGGAGAAGGUGGACACCUUUAUCAAGAAGGACCUCGAUGGAAACUGGCUGAACAACCCCUACCUGCUGCAGCUGAUCCUAAAGGAGGUGCAGAACGUGCGGCAGGAAUGGUUCUCUGUUAAUGUGAGAUGUGGCAAGAAGAAGCCGGGGUACUGGGAGAAAGUGGCCAGACGCAUUGACCAGGCUUACUUUUGCCUUUAUCUCAUUACCACCAUUAGUUUUCUGAUAUUCAUAAGUUUCAUGUGGCUUCAUUAACUGUGCACAGUGCAUUUACAAUAUAUGAGGAUUUUUAGGCUCUUUGGGUUACUUAUAUGCAUAAUAUUGGUACUUAAUGGUAAAUAAUACUGGUAAAUUCCAAUAAAUUAUUCUUUAUAAAUAGCUGUUUCCCCGCAAGACCUGUAGACUAAAGCUUUUAAUAUAUUUUACAUUAUCUUCAUUACCUAACCUGACUUAGGUUCACUUAGCUACUGCUUCUGUUGU
Molecule: non-coding RNA, 868 nt
Organism: Oncorhynchus mykiss (rainbow trout)
Lineage: Eukaryota; Metazoa; Chordata; Actinopteri; Salmoniformes; Salmonidae
Source: RefSeq, a predicted model, not a curated record